UACGUAGGGGGCCAGCGUUGUCCGGAGUUACUGGGCGUAAAGGGCCCGCAGGCGGUGCGGCGCAUUCCCGGUUCCAGCCGGUCGCUUAACGACCGGAGCGCCGGGACGAUGGCCGGACUUGAGCCCCAGAGAGGGACACGGAACUCCGGGUGGAGCGGUGAAAUGCGUAGAGAUCCGGAAGAACACCAAAGGCGAAGGCAGUGUCCUGGCUGGGGGCUGACGCUGAGGGGCGAGAGCUAGGGGAGCGAACGGG
RNAcentral lists this ribosomal RNA (253 nucleotides) under uncultured bacterium. Its description in RNAcentral is "partial 16S ribosomal RNA". It matches the Rfam family "Bacterial small subunit ribosomal RNA", at positions 524 to 776 of the family's 1533-position model. The record is from RNAcentral.